Long non-coding RNA from Lathyrus oleraceus (garden pea), 724 nucleotides. RefSeq lists it as uncharacterized. The transcript is spliced from 3 exons. The record is from RefSeq and is a predicted model, not a curated record. Lineage: Eukaryota; Viridiplantae; Streptophyta; Magnoliopsida; Fabales; Fabaceae.
UUCCGGAUUGCAAGCCCACGAAUCCUCUUCCAACAUGAACAUUCAAAAUAAGUUCGGCAGAACUGCUAUUACCCAUUGCUCGGCAGCAGUCGUCGAGCAUACCCAAGACUGCUCCAAGUUGUGAACAUAACUCUGAAUUGUUACCAACUUUUUCUAUCUAACUACGAAUGUCUUCUGCACAUAGGUUGAGUCUUGAUUUGGCACUUCCUAAAUUCUGAGCAUGGAAUGCCCUCAUGGCCUGUUGUACUAAGAAAGAAACUCUUUCCAUAGACACAUCUUUGUACUAAUGGAUGCAGGACUAAUCCAUGGCCAUUUCCUGCAGGAUAAUGAUGGUGUGAUGCUGUUGCAAAGCAAGAUGACAUAAGUUGCGACAACAAUAGUGGUUAAACUGUCAUGGAGCUCCUUGACCAACGGUUUGAGGUCUGUUAAAUGAUCGGAUUGCGGAUUGGUUCAGGUCGGAGAGGCAGAUACCUUGGCGCCAGAAAGCUUCCCAUAUCAGGCCCGUGACAGAUAGGUAGAGCAUGCAAUGCUUAGAAGUUGUGAUGCAGUUGCAAAGAAUGCGUAAUAGGCCAAGGGUUGCAUUUGAAAACAUUGAGAAAUCCUUUCAAAAACCUCGUCUGCUGUCGCAUCAAAAUUCCAAUUGAGGGAGUUGGACUGAACUUACGCAUCAAGAUUCAAACAGAAGAGAAGUUCACUGAACCGCUGUUGACAGGAUUCGGCAAUU